UAGGCAGCAGUGGGGAAUAUUGGGCAAUGGGCGCAAGCCUGACCCAGCGACGCCGCGUGAGGGAAGAAGGCCCUUGGGUCGUAAACCUCUGUUGUAUGGGAAGAAGGACGUGACGGUACCAUACGAGGAAGUCCCGGCUAACUACGUGCCAGCAGCCGCGGUAA
This 164-nucleotide ribosomal RNA is filed under the name uncultured Aminobacterium sp. Its description in RNAcentral is "partial 16S ribosomal RNA". It matches the Rfam family "Bacterial small subunit ribosomal RNA", at positions 345 to 523 of the family's 1533-position model. The record is from RNAcentral. Lineage: Bacteria; Thermotogati; Synergistota; Synergistia; Synergistales; Aminobacteriaceae.